UUUGAUCCAUCCUCAAUGUUGACAGUCAAGAGUCUGCUUUUGUCGAAAUUAACAGUAAGUCCCGACAACGCUUCUGAAGAGAAUAUAGUGGUUAAUACGACUCAUUUUAGAAUGCUGAAUAGGUUACAAAGUGUCUGUUUCAAUAGACAUCCGAUUAAAUUUAUGUGUUCUACCAACUGACGUAGCUGUUAGUGGCUUUGAAUAGUAACAAAGAACUUAUUCGGGCCCAAAACCGGCCGAAAUGCUGUGACUUGGUAUUUUGGUCAUUAUAAUUGUUGGUGUUGUCUGAAUUUCUUCAGAACAUGGAUGGAGCUACUGAUUAAUUUUGCUUCCUCUUUGUGAUCCUAAAGCAGGAAUUAUGAAAAACUAUUGGGUUGUGGUGGCUGUUGUCUAGUAUAUUCGAACUUCUGGUUAUAGGUACUGGAAAGAGAAAUAAGUACUGAAAAGAAAUAAGACUCGGAUUAAUCUAGCAAAGUAUAAGUAGUUCGGUUAUGGUGAAGCAUCUCUCCCUUGUGGAGUGCUAGUUAUCAAGCCUUGCAUGAUCUACAAGUAUGUUACUCGUGUGAGUCUUUUUCUCUUUUGAUUUAUAUCUUGUACAGGAUGCUGAUGCUUCUGCCAGAAAAGAGGCAGCUGCGAGGAAGCGUGUGGAGGAUAUAGCUGCAGGAGUUGUUCAGAUGAAUGGCCGUGAACUCUUUGAGCACGAGCCUUGGGUUUUCGAUGACACAAGUUACUAGGGUUAGUUUUAUGGCUUCACACAUCUUGUCAAUGCAGUCUGAUUUUUACUAGCUUUGAAUAGUGGAAGUUUCCAGACUGUUGUAUUAUAUGUUUCUUGAUUUGCAUUCAUUUUAACAUAAAAUUUAAAACUUUGAACACAGUCACAUUUGCUUUUGUUUGGCUCUUUUUCCUCCCCUUUCCAUUGUAGGAAAAAUAUCCAUCGCGAAAUCGAAGCAAUCAUGUGCUUUUAUGUAUGGGAGAAAAUCUAUCUAUUAUACUAAAGGAAAGUUGUAUCAUAUAUGCAUGAAAUUUCCAUCCAAAAACUUACUUUUCCCAUCCCCGUUCAAAUAUUCUCAUGCAAAAAAUAUUUUUUUAUUGCUACACCAACCCAUUAUAUUUUGACUGAUGUGUUUAUUCUUUAAACGAGCAAUCUAAAUUCACCACUUCCCAUGCAUCUAUUCAGUUUCCCCAUAAAAGCUCUAUUUUUUGAAAAUCUAAAUUAAUUUUACAUUUUUAGGGCUGCUGCCUUUUCAUUUUCCCAAAUGCAGAUUUCGAAUUACGCUAUUUCAAUUCUAGGCCAUUCUUCUAUUGAGAGUAUAUAUACUUCUUUUAAGAUGCUUUUGCGACGCCUUCUACUUUUGAAUUUUUGCACUUUUUUUCAUUAUGCUUCCUAAGUUUUACACUUCAUUCGUCAAUUCAAAUUUGGUUAAUCAAUUUUUGAUCUUUUUUAUUGAUUACAUUAUAAUAGAAGAUUAUAUUAAAAAUAAUUCUAAAACUGGAAUCUUUGUUUAACGUUUGCAGAUUUGACAUGGAGUACCAAUAGCAACAACUCAUGGAAUGCUUUGAAGUAUUUAAGUAGUGGAGAGGAAAAGUGGAAUGCAUGAAGGUAGGAGAACAAUGUGGAACUAUUAUGUAGGAUUUUAAAGGGAUAAAUAGGAAAAUUUGUUACUUCGAUAGGAAAUUAAAGGAGAGAUCUUAUCUUAUGGAUUUGAAUAUAUCAAAUGAAGAGAACUCCACAAAAGGUAGACGCGCAGGUUUUUUGAUUCAUUAAGACUUAUAAUGAAUCCCUAAACCUGAGUGUGAAUAAUUAUCUGAGACCUUGACUUUUUAUGUUUUGCCUAACCACUUUAUCAUAGUUUGGACUUCAAAUUUAUUGCAGCUAAUGUAGUAUGUUAAAUAUCAUAAUAUGAUGCAUCAUAAAAAAAAUAAAAAUUAA
This 1930-nucleotide long non-coding RNA is filed under the name Salvia miltiorrhiza (redroot sage). Its description in RNAcentral is "long non-coding RNA (SMIL_LNC006651)". The record is from RNAcentral. Lineage: Eukaryota; Viridiplantae; Streptophyta; Magnoliopsida; Lamiales; Lamiaceae.